GUGUGACAUUUAGAGACCAGGUAACUCUUUGCAACCCAGAGUUCAAAACCGGAUCUUCCGGUUCUGGGAAUCGGAAUCACGUGACUCUGUCUCGGGCUGAGGAUGCUUAAUCCAGUCAGACCCAUUCCGUUUGAACUCAUCACGUCAUGAGAGAAUUCGUUCUAUUUGUGGACAACUCUCAUUGUCUUGUUUCAGUUUGAUUUUUUCCCCCGACAUGGAGCCAAAAUCCGUUCUGUGCAAUUUUAAUACGCUGAUCAUCGCUCCGGCCUCCAGAGUCAAAGAAAAGAAACCCUCCUGUGAGGAAUGGACGGAUAUUUGGUUUCCACAGCUAUGAAAAUAAAUGGGAGAAACGGCCCUUAAAUUAGAAAACUGAAACCCGCAAGGACGUCAAGGGAUAAUCAAAGAUGGAGAUUGUCUUCCCCCGGGAAGAACAUUUGUUUUCCUCCGGGCUUUGAUCAGUUCAUUUUCAAAUGACCAGCAAUAGACAGUUAUAUUGACCAACUUCAAGAGUCCGACUCAAUCCACUGGAUCUUCGAUGGACUCAAGUCUCUGCAAAUGGGACCCUGUAAGAUGACCCAGCUCAAUGCUCGUUCUCAGCAAGAAGUAGUUUCAGGAAAUGACAUAAUUACCCCAUACUUCAAAAGACUUUGGGUCCCCAUUUGUUUGGGAAGGAACUAGAAAUGAACCCCAAAAUAUAUGGUGUCUGAGUGGUUUCCCUGUAAGGAAUUCAUCAGUUCUGUGAAGGGGGGAAAUUACAUAGGAUUAAUGUUACUCCUCUGAAACAAUAUUAUUUAGGACUCAGGAUGGGAGACAUCAUAUUAAGAUAUGGGCAAUAUUUCUGAGAAAGCCACCCCAUAAAAAUUCAGUUUGAUGUUUGAUAAAUUAUAAAAUUGUAGAGGCUUGACUAGCCUAGACAAGUAAGCACAAAAAGUAUUUGUGUCCUAAUAGGGAAAGAGAAUUUUAUGAAACUGACUGUCCAAUUUGGAAUAAUGCUUGAUUUGCUAUAAGGGCUGGACAUUUAGCAAAUACAGAUCAAAGAGUUAAGUUAAGAGUAUAUGCAGUAGGUAUAGAUCUCCUCGGAAGAUUUCAAUGUCUGGGUAGAAUUGGUAAAGUACUCUACAAAGAGUCUGAAUGACAAACAAUUUCUAUGUCUGUGCUAUUGAUGCGGUGCUAGUGAUAGAGAAUUGGAGUGGGGAAUCUCCUCUGGUCAGAGACGCAGAUCCAGUGUGAAAGAAUUCACAAACCUAAAAUCUGAAUGGCAGAAAAGGGAGUUUAUUGGCACUGAGAAGCUAGCUUUGCUAGGAAGACAGACUUCUUAGUGGCAAGAGGUCCUGUCAGAGAAAUAACAAAAGGUUAUCACUAAGAAGAGGAUAUCUUCACUGUGGGCAGGGGUCCUGGAAGGCAGCUUUGCUUUGUUGGCAAAGUAUAAUCCUAUUUCUGACUUCUGCAGAGAUUUGGAGCACAGAAUUGUCUUUUAUUAGGUCUGAGGUUAGGGCUUCCAUUCAAAAUUGAAUAAGAAUCCCUCAAUGCUGUUAAUGCCCCAGGCUUAGAUUUCCAGUUGAAAAGAGAGUACUUGUCUUGGAGUUUCAAGCCACUUAAUAGGACUAUCAGGUCAAAAUCUCCAACUGAAUGAGACCACUUAAGUUCAAGUUCUAGGCUAAUCUUCAACUCAGUAGAGGGUGCAACUAUAUCUCUGAUAUGAUAUGAAGGAGAUAUGAACGAGAACACUUAACUGCCCUGAAGGGUGGGUCUCUGUCAGGAGAGUUUCAGAGUUCACCCCCCAUUAUUUGCCUUAUGACCAGAUAGUACCAUUCCAUUUGGAUAUGGAAAAAACAUGAGAGUGAAUUCAAGUGCAGGAUCCUUUAGUUUCCCAAAAUAACAUUUCUGGGGAGAAUUGCAAUGCUUUGUUCUACCUUUCUCUUCUAUGAGGGAAUAAACCAGGCUAUAUUAGCCCCUUAACUCUAGAAAUCAAUCAGUUUGCCUCUCAUGGCAGAGUAAAAGAUUCCCAAAUCUGGAGAUUGUGGUGACAUGUACCUGACUCUGGAAGCGCUAACACUUUCUCAGGAAUGAAACUAGUUCAGCCUUAUGUGAUAUUGUGGAGGCAGAACGCUCAAAUCUGCUUUGCCUGGGAACUUAGUGGGCACAUGUACACCAACCCAAUUGGCUAUUCCUUUUAUCCUGGCAUUCGAAGAAGUAAGACUGAAUCAGGAAGAAUUAAGUCAAAAAUAGUAACUGAUGAAUUCAAGACUAGAAAUCUAAUUAGUUCCGGAUUUGAGUCAUUUCUCCUCUAGUGGGUAAAUAUUAUUGGAUAAGUUAUACCAGAGAGGCAGUGAAAAGAAUAGAAAAAUAAUUAGAUGCCACUAACUGAAUGGCAUGGGAAAACAGAAUGGUUCUAGAAAGGUUAUUGGCAAAAAUAAGAAAACAAUUGGAAGUAGUUUCACUUCUAAUAUACUCUUGUCAGAGGAAUUAACAGAGAAUUCAGGGAUUAAUUAUCCAUUCCUUAUCAGAUCUGUGCAGGGGUAAAAGACUCCUGUGAAGUGGAAUGUAAAAAAAUUUUAUUAGGCAAAUUUGAUAGGUUAAAAAGAAGAUGUAGAAAUCAAAUUAUUAAAAAAAAAAAA
This is a long non-coding RNA of Sarcophilus harrisii (Tasmanian devil), 2618 nucleotides long. RefSeq lists it as uncharacterized. The transcript is spliced from 2 exons. Lineage: Eukaryota; Metazoa; Chordata; Mammalia; Dasyuromorphia; Dasyuridae. The record is from RefSeq and is a predicted model, not a curated record.